AUGUAGUGUAGCAUGCCCGUUGGUGCUUAACUCUGAUGAUUAUGUUGUAUUUAAUUAUAUUUGGGUAGCGGGGUGUUACAGUGAA
Molecule: microRNA precursor, 85 nt
Filed under: Medicago truncatula (barrel medic)
Lineage: Eukaryota; Viridiplantae; Streptophyta; Magnoliopsida; Fabales; Fabaceae
Description: MIR2617 microRNA precursor family
Rfam family: MIR2617 microRNA precursor family
Source: Rfam by way of RNAcentral